UGGGGAAUUUUGGACAAUGGGCGAAAGCCUGAUCCAGCAAUGCCGCGUGUGUGAAGAAGGCCUUCGGGUUGUAAAGCACUUUUGUCCGGAAAGAAAUCCUUGGCUCUAAUACAGUCGGGGGAUGACGGUACCGGAAGAAUAAGCACCGGCUAACUACGUGCCAGCAGCCGCGGUAAUACGUAGGGUGCAAGCGUUAAUCGGAAUUACUGGGCGUAAAGCGUGCGCAGGCGGUUUGCUAAGACCGAUGUGAAAUCCCCCGGGCUCAACCUGGGAACUGCAUUGGUGACUGGCAGGCUAGAGUAUGGCAGAGGGGGGUAGAAUUCCACGUGUAGCAGUGAAAUGCGUAGAGAUGCGGAGGAAUACCGAUGGCGAAGGCAGCCCCCUGGGCCAAAUACUGACGCUCAUGCACGAAAGCGUGGGGGAGCAAAACAGGAUUAGGAUACCCUGGUAGUCCACGCCCUAAACGAUGUCAACUAGUUGUUGGGGAUUCAUUUCCUUAGUAACGUAGCUAACGCGUGAAGUUGACCGCCUGGGGAGUACGGUCG
This 545-nucleotide ribosomal RNA is filed under the name uncultured bacterium. RNAcentral describes it as "partial 16S ribosomal RNA". It matches the Rfam family "Bacterial small subunit ribosomal RNA", at positions 355 to 888 of the family's 1533-position model. The record is from RNAcentral.